CCUGGUUGAUCUGCCAGUAGUCAUAUGCUUGUCUCAAAGAUUAAGCCAUGCAGCAUGUCUCAGUGCAAGCCGCAUUAAGGUGAAACCGCGAAAGGCUCAUUAAAUCAGUUGUGGUUCCUUAGAUCGUACCCAAGUUACUUGGAUAACUGUGGUAAUUCUAGAGCUAAUACAUGCCGACAGAGUUCCGACCGCCGCGGUGCCCCCGGGUUCCGUGUGCGGGAGAACGCUUUAUUAGAUCAAAACCGGCCCGUCGCGGCGCGCCUCGCGCGCGUCCCGAUCGCGGCCCGCGCAAAGACCUGGUGACUCUGAAUAACUUCGAGCUGAUCGCACGGUCCUCGUACCGGCGACGCAUCUUUCAAAUGUCUGCCUUAUCAACUGUCGACGGUAGGUUCCAUGCCUACCGUGGUGUACGGGUAACAGCGGGGAAUCAGGGUUCGAUUCGGAGGAGCCUGAGAAAACGGCUACCACAUCCAAGGAAGGCAGCAGGCGCGCAAAUUACCCACUCCCGGAACGGGGAGGUAGUGACGAAAAAUAACGAUACGGGACUCAUCCGGGGCCCCGUAAUCGGAAUGAGAACACUUUAAAACCUUUAAACGAGGAUCAUUGGAGGCAAGUCUGGUGCCAGCAGCCGCGGUAAUUCAGCUCCAAUAGCGUAUAUUAAAGUUGUUGCGGUUAAAAAGCUCGUAGUCGGAUCUGUGUCUGGGCGGUGCCGGACCACCCUGGCGGUCCGGCGUGUCGCGGCCGGUCGUGUCGCGGGACCGUGUCGUCGGCGCGGCCGUCGCGCUCGUCAGCCGUCUCGGGGUGUUAGUGAAACGUCCGGCCGGACGUAUCGUGAGCGGACACGUGUCUCGUGCUUCCGGCGCGCCGCGCGGCCACGCGUCGCGCGGCCGUCGGGGUUCGACGACGGCGGCCGCCUACUCCAAUCUUGCUGCGCGGUGCUCUUCACCGAGUGCCGUCGGCGGGCCGACACGUUUACUUUGAACAAAUUAGAGUGCUCAAAGCAGGCUCAAAUCUGGCGGGGCGGCUUCACGGCCGUCUCGUCAAAAGGCCCUGAAUACUGGUCGCAUGGAAUAAUGGAACAAGACCUCGGUCCCGCGCAUCUCCGCCCUUAGCGGGCGCGCGAAACCGCCCUCCGGGGCGUUUCCGUGCGCGGGUCGCCGGGCCGCGGGCGCCAGUCGCCCGCGCGUCCCGCCGGGCCGGUUUCGGACCGGUAAUGAUCAACAGAAGACGGGCGGCAUUCGUACCGAGACGUUAGAGGUGAAAUUCUUGGAUCGUCUCGAGACGAACGACGCGCGGCAUUGCCAAGUACGUUCUCGUAUGAUCAGAACGAAGUGCGCAGAGGUUCAGGCGAUCCAGAUGCCGCCUAGUUCUAACUGUAAACGAUGCUGUAGCGAUCCGCCGGCGUUUCGUGGCAGCCGGCGGGCGCUUCGAAAUGACUUUUCGGUUCGGGAAAUAUGAUUGCAAAGUUGAAACUUAAAGAAUUGACGGAAGGCACCGCAAGUGGAGCCUGCGGCAAUUUGACUCAACACGGGAAACCUCACCAGGCGGACACCGGAAGAUUGACAGGUGAGCUCUUUCCUUGAUUCGGUGGGUGGUGGUGCAUGGCCGUUCUUAGUUGGUGGAGCGAUCUGUCUGGUUAAUUCCGAUAACGAACGAGACUCUGUCCUGCUAACUAGGCGGGUAAACCCGGGUCGGCGGUGGGCGCGGCGCGGGCGGUUUCGGCCGUCCGUGUUCGCGUCUCCGUCGCUCGGCGGUAUCCCGAACGCGUUCGCCCGUCGUCCACGGCGGUCGUCGGGCGCGGCCGCCAUCCGCGUCCUGCGUGCGGCGGGCGUGUGUCGGCCGGGGCAACCUCCGGUCGGCGCGCGUCGGUCGUGCGCGGGGCUCCGCGGUGAAGCGCGCCGCGUUCGCGGCCGUCGCCGGCGGAUCACGAUACGUUACUAGGGCUACCGCCGGCUCCCAGGAGCUUAAACUCUUCUUAGAGGACGGGCGGACGAAAAUAGCCGCACGAGACUGAGCGAUAACAGGUCUGUGAUGCCCUUAGAUGUUCUGGGCCGCACGCGCGCUACACUGAAGGAAUCAGCGUGUGUUAACAUUCCUGGGCCGACAGGCUUCCGGGUAACCCGCUGAACCUCCUUCGUGCUUAGGGAUCGUGGCUUGCAAUUUUUCCACGUGAACGAGGAAUUCCCAGUAAGCGCGAGUCAUCAGCUCGCGUUGAUUACGUCCCUGCCCUUUGUACACACCGCCCGUCGCUACUACCGAUUGAACGACCGCAGUGAGGUCUUCGGACUGGACGCGUUAUUCGGCCCCGGGGGCUGGGUCGUCGCGCGACCGGGAAGAUGACCGAACUCGGCCGUUUAGAGGAAGUAAAAGUCGUAACAAGGUUUCCGUAGGUGAACCUGCGGAAG
Molecule: ribosomal RNA, 2405 nt
Filed under: Melanaphis sacchari
Lineage: Eukaryota; Metazoa; Arthropoda; Insecta; Hemiptera; Aphididae
Description: SSU rRNA
Rfam family: Eukaryotic small subunit ribosomal RNA
Source: RNAcentral